RNAcentral lists this ribosomal RNA (253 nucleotides) under uncultured bacterium. Its description in RNAcentral is "partial 16S ribosomal RNA". It matches the Rfam family "Bacterial small subunit ribosomal RNA", at positions 524 to 776 of the family's 1533-position model. The record is from RNAcentral.
UACAGAGGGCCCAAGCGUUGUUCGGAUUCACUGGGCGUAAAGGGUGCGUAGGUGGUCGGGUAAGUCUGAUGUGAAAUCUCCGAGCCUAACUCGGAAACUGCAUCGGAUACUAUUCGGCUUGAGGGUUGGAGGGGGGACUGGAAUACUUGGUGUAGCAGUGAAAUGCGUAGAUAUCAAGUGGAACACCAGUGGCGAAGGCGAGUCCCUGGACAACUCCUGACACUGAGGCACGAAAGCGUGGGGAGCAAACAGG